This 4954-nucleotide long non-coding RNA is filed under the name Salmo salar (Atlantic salmon). Its description in RNAcentral is "lncRNA (ENSSSAG00000102299.1)". The record is from RNAcentral. Lineage: Eukaryota; Metazoa; Chordata; Actinopteri; Salmoniformes; Salmonidae.
GCUUACAGCAUUGAUGUUGUUAAAUAUGGUGUCAUUAUUCAAGAUAUGCUUUUAUCUCUCGAAUCCUAAUUGCAUUGUUGGCCAAAACCAUAUUUAUAAUUGCAGUCUCUUGUACAUCUGUAAACAAGCGUCCUCGUCCUCCAUGAUGUCUUUGCCUUUCCACUCUGUACAGAAUUCAAACACAGUAUGUGUUCAGUAUAGGAACUGUAAACAAUGUACAAAAAAGGGUAGUACAGCAUGAUAACCAACCUCAUUCAUUCAAUUCAAUGCAGUGCAGUAAAUGGAUGGCUUAGAGUUACAAAUGUUUAUGCAAUACUAUGCAGUCAUACGUAUUUUACAGUACAUUACUGUAAUGCUAAAAUAGUCAUUAGAUAGUUGCAUACCUGUUCUCAUUUCUGAAGGUUCGAAUCAAGUUGGGCUGGACUCAAAGUCCAGCCUCACUCAUGGUCAAACUGUGGUUGAUCACACGAUCAACAAGUGUUGCCCUAAUCUCAUCAGAGAUGGCUCUCCUUCCUUCUCUUCUUUGCCUUUGCCCUCAUCCUCCUCUUUCUCUUCCUCCUACUCCAACUCUUCGUCUUUGAAUUUGUCCUCGUUGUUGUCCCCUGCCUCUCCCUCCUACUCCUCUUGCUCUCUGUCCAUUGUUGGCAUCCAUUGUUCAAAACAGGUAAUCUGACCUUUGACCUAUUUAUAGGCCUAUACUACAGUAAAGCAGUGAUUGGUUAGUGAUCAGUUAAGCAAUUAGUGUUUGCACAUGUGAGGAGUGUGUGUGUGACCUGGUGAAUAAGUGUAGCAUUUUGAUUGGUUGUGUUUUGAAAAGGAAAGCAAGUCACUUCCUGUUAGAUUUUUGUGUUUUAGGUAGAGAAUUGUGUGUAGUAUUUUGAAAAAAGUGUUUUAUGCAUUUGACAACUGAGUCAAAGGCUGAGAAAUAGCUUAUGGUUUUGGAUAUUUGGUGUGUAGUUUUGCACUUUGAGUGAGAGGUUUCAAAAAUCGCGUGAUAUGAAAAGAUUUUGUGUGUAAGCAGUUGGAAAAAACUGUAAUAAGGGAUACACUCAUUCACACAUCUUCAGUAGUAAGACUCAUGCAGGUGCGCUGGAGAGAUUCCCAAAAACAGAUUGCUAGCCUAAGUUUAACCUUUUUAUUGAAAAUUAAGUCAUUCUUUCGGUCUAAUCAGCAUGAAAGGCUUUAACAGAGGUUGGUAGACCAAAACACAACUCAAAUGAUUUUACACCAUACACAUACAUUAGCAAAUGCUUUCCAACAGAUGUUCAAUAGGACCUGUUUAGAUUUUCUUUGUGUACUUUCCCAGCUGUGAGGUUUCUCUGUGGCUUAUACAUGUCAUACGAUAGAUGGGUGUCCUACUGUAAUUACUACUAACCAUUCAUAAAACCAAAAACAAAAGAGAGCAGCGAGGCAGAACUAAGACAAACCGCUGGCCAGCCAGGCUUUCGUGAACAUGGCAUGUUACUUAGCGGAGGUGUGCUUCGUUUGCCAACACUGACAUGCCCACAUUUCACAGGCUCAUCCAUCAAACUAAACUCUACCCUUUAAAGUGAACAAGUGAAGGGAGAAAUAUUGAGUGCAUCUCUCCCUUCUUCUUCACAGAGAGCACGCCAAAACAUACAAUGACUGUUUACGAUUUACAAGAAUAGGAGCAUUAAUAUUUUGACGGCGCUGAAGUAGUAGGACUACUGGAACAACCAGUAAAAGAUAUCUGGCCUCAGCCACUGAGAGCUCUUAAACACUGUUGUCCUGGAGACCUUUAGUCUAGGGCUCCAUGCUGGGAGGGGAGGUCAGUGAAGCAUGUUGUGAGGUUUGACCCCAAUGGCAUUUCCUAUUGGCCCAGGUCAGGAUUCUGGAAUGUGUGGAGCCGGUGCCCUCUUUGUUUCACACCUGCUCUCGGUUAACAUGACCUCCGUGGAUCUAAAGGUUAACUGCCCCUUUCUUAAAUAGUUAUGUGGUUUUAGAGCAAGUGGCUUGUUUUGGGUGUGUAGGGGUGUACAUUGUAAGAUGCAUUCUGGGUAAGAGCGCAUGCUAUGACUAAAAUGUAAAUGUAAGAUCGCCUUAAUUCAGUUUCUAUAACAGUGUUAUAUUUCCUUGUUAUGCAUUACGAAUGUACAUUUAGGGAUUCAUGCUGUUAUAAAGGCUGAUAUAAGGAGCUAUGAGCUGUUAUGAAUGCUUAUAACAGGUCUUAGAAUACAUUAUGAUCUGAUGGAAGGCUAUGUAAUGGUUUAUUGGAGGAUCAUUUGAAUGAGGUGAUUGGCAUAGAUCCAGCUCAUACACCCUUGACGUAUGUUUCUGGAACUAGUUGAAAGAACCUCAUGACAGUCAAUCAUGCCUGAUGUUUUUCAGUCCUAGUUGAAAGGGUUACAGUGCUGAUAAAACUCAAACACAGAUUGAGUAAGGAAUGUCUGUCAUAUAAAGCAGGGUUUGUUUUUAGAAGAUAUUUCUAUUGAGGCUUUUUCUUGGCAGUCGUUUCCCAGGCUGCAUCAGAAGGAACUUACCAAGGAAGGAUUGUUUCAAUUAAAUUGAAAUUUAACUUAAGUAAAUAUCAUCACAGCGAUUUAAUCUUGGAACACAGAGCUACCCUUUAUUUACUGAUUAUUGGUACAUAUUAUCGGAACUCUGGGACAUGGUUCUAUUUUGAUAUGUCACAUCUCACUCUCACAGAAUAUUUACCUCUUUCACCAAUAUACAUUUAGGUUUCCGCUCUCAGAGAGAAGACCAAAUGUGAACUCCUUUUCUGGCCAAAGCUGUCUGAGCGAUCUUAGUCGGACUAUCAAAUUGACUUUGUACAUAACAAACUGCUCAUGCUAAAAGCAACAAUGAAAAUGGAGACGUAACUCAUCAACAUGCCAAUACUGCAUACUUUUGAGGUCAGGGGUCAAGGGAUGUUCACUUCUGUGAGUAUAGAUUACUUGUCAUCAUGGUGACAUAUGGCAUUCUUGCACGCCAUAGCUUGGGGUGAUUGGAAAUGCAAGAACGUAUGAAAAGGUCCAUUUCUCAGUCUCAGAUGGGUCGUCUUUGUCCCAAGCCCAUUCUCUUCUUUUGAUUCCAUUCAGACUUCGACAUGGUUUGGAAACUCUAUCCAGCAUUGGAUGACAAGGGAUGACAAGGCAAUAUAAAAGAUAUCCAGCUUUCAUGUCAAUAGAGAUAUAUUUUAUUAAACUUCCAUUUCCAACAAUAAUGUCUCAAUGUUGUUUGUUCUGUAGGCUAUAUCCAGUUAGUUAUGUAGGCUAUAUCCAGUUAGUGUUACGAUUCUCUAAAGCAGAACCCAGAAGCCCACCAGGACAAGGUGAGUAAAAUGAAGGUGAGUAUUUAUUUACAGAGUCAAGGUGAAAGCAGAAUAAUCCAGGAGACGGAGCGGGCAGCGGAGGUGAGUUGGUGAGAGUGAAUAGGCCGAUCCAAUGAUGUGACAGAAGCCACCGACGACCAGGCAAGGGGGUGAAUGUUCCGGGAGAAUGACUGUAGACAGAGUAAACGAAGGUGAGUAACCGGUAAAAAGUACAGAACAACAAAACUAACUCUGGUAACAUGAGGCUGAUACGCUGACACAACAUACUGUUCAUUGCUAACGAUCCGGCAGGGAAUGGAUGUCAGGUCAGAGCUUAAGAAGAGAAGAGGUGAUGAUCAGGACCAGGUGUGCAGAUGGCUGAUGAGAUGCAGGUGCGGGUAAUUGAGCGAUCUCCCGCCUAGCUUCGUCGCCCGGCAACCAGACAGGGUGUGUUCAGAAAACUCAGGAAACAACUCCAAAACAGAAAACAGGCAGCUCAGGCAGAACACAGAAUCAGGAAGCAGGAUUCAUGACAGUUAGUUAUGUAGGCUAUAUCCAGUGAGUUAUGUAGGCUAUAUUCAGCUGGUUAUGUAGGCUAUAUUCAGUUAGUUAUGUAGGCUAUAUUCAGUUAGUUAUGUAGGCUAUAUUCAGUUAGUUCUGUAGACUAUAUUCAGUUAGUUAUGUAGGCUAUAUUCAGUUAGUUAUGUAGGCUAUAUCCAGUUAGUUAUGUAGGCUAUAUCCAGUGAGUUAUGUAGGCUAUAUUCAGCUGGUUAUGUAGGCUAUGUUCAGUUAGUUAUGUAGGCUAUGUUCAGUUAGUUAUGUAGGCUAUAUUCAGUUAGUUAUGUAGGCUAUAUUCAGUUAGUUCUGUAGGCUAUAUCCAGUGAGUUAUGUAGGCUAUAUCCAGUGAGUUAUGUAGGCUAUAUUCAGCUGGUUAUGUAGGCUAUGUUCAGUUAGUUAUGUAGGCUAUAUUCAGCUGGUUAUGUAGGCUAUGUUCAGUUAGUUAUGUAGGCUAUAUUCAGCUGGUUAUGUAGGCUAUGUUCAGUUAGUUCUGUAGGCUAUAUUCAGUUAGUUAUGUAGGCUAUGUUCAGUUAGUUAUGUAGACUGUAUUCAGUUAGUUCUGUAGGCUAUAUUCAGUUAGUUCUGUAGACUAUAUUCAGUUAGUUAUGUAGGCUAUAUCCAGUUAGUUAUGUAGGCUAUAUCCAGUGAGUUAUGUAGGCUAUAUUCAGCUGGUUAUGUAGGCUAUAUCCAGUUAGUUAUGUAGGCUAUAUCCAGUGAGUUAUGUAGGCUAUAUUCAGUUAGUUAUGUAGGAUAUAUCCAGCAAGUUAUGUAGGCUAUAUUCAGUUAGUUAUGUAGGCUAUAUUCAGUUAGUUCUGUAUGCUAUAUUCAGUUAGUUCUGUAGGCUAUAUUCAGCUGGUUAUGUAGGCUAUAUUCAGUGAGUUAUGUAGGCUCUAUUCAGUUAGUUAUGUAGGCUAUAUUCAGUUAGUUCUGUAGACUAUAUUCAGUUAGUUAUGUAGGCUAUAUUCAGUUAGUUCUGUAGGCUAUAUUCAGUUAGUUCUAUUCAGUUAGUUCUGUAGGCUAUAUUCAGUUAGUUCUGUAGGCUAUAUCCAGUUAGUUAUGUAGGCUAUAUCCAGUUAGUUCUUUAAAACUUAGCUUCUAUACUUUUCUUACUUUCUUUUGCAGGCC